AGCGAACGCUGGCGGCAGGCUUAACACAUGCAAGUCGAGCGGGCGUAGCAAUACGUCAGCGGCAGACGGGUGAGUAACGCGUGGGAACAUACCUUUUGGUUCGGAACAACACAGGGAAACUUGUGCUAAUACCGGAUAAGCCCUUACGGGGAAAGAUUUAUCGCCGAAAGAUUGGCCCGCGUCUGAUUAGCUAGUUGGUGAGGUAACGGCUCACCAAGGCGACGAUCAGUAGCUGGCUGAGAGGAUGAUCAGCCACAUUGGGACUGAGACACGGCCCAAACUCCUACGGGAGGCAGCAGUGGGGAAUAUUGGACAAUGGGCGAAAGCCUGAUCCAGCCAUGCCGCGUGAGUGAUGAAGGCCCGUAGGGUUGUAAAGCUCUUUUGUGCGGGAAGAUAAUGACGGUACCGCAAGAAUAACGCCCC
This 423-nucleotide ribosomal RNA is filed under the name uncultured bacterium. Its description in RNAcentral is "bacterial SSU rRNA". It matches the Rfam family "Bacterial small subunit ribosomal RNA", at positions 29 to 495 of the family's 1533-position model. The record is from RNAcentral.